Molecule: ribosomal RNA, 867 nt
Filed under: Listeria monocytogenes
Lineage: Bacteria; Bacillati; Bacillota; Bacilli; Caryophanales; Listeriaceae
Description: bacterial SSU rRNA
Rfam family: Bacterial small subunit ribosomal RNA
Source: RNAcentral
UAUGAGAGUUUGAUCCUGGCUCAGGACGAACGCUGGCGGCGUGCCUAAUACAUGCAAGUCGAACGCUUUUUCUUUCACCGGAGCUUGCUCCACCGAAAGAAAAAGAGUGGCGAACGGGUGAGUAACACGUGGGUAACCUGCCCAUCAGAAGGGGAUAACACUUGGAAACAGGUGCUAAUACCGUAUAACACUAUUUUCCGCAUGGAAGAAAGUUGAAAGGCGCUUUUGCGUCACUGAUGGAUGGACCCGCGGUGCAUUAGCUAGUUGGUGAGGUAACGGCUCACCAAGGCAACGAUGCAUAGCCGACCUGAGAGGGUGAUCGGCCACACUGGGACUGAGACACGGCCCAGACUCCUACGGGAGGCAGCAGUAGGGAAUCUUCGGCAAUGGACGAAAGUCUGACCGAGCAACGCCGCGUGAGUGAAGAAGGUUUUCGGAUCGUAAAACUCUGUUGUUAGAGAAGAACAAGGAUGAGAGUAAAAUGUUCAUCCCUUGACGGUAUCUAACCAGAAAGCCACGGCUAACUACGUGCCAGCAGCCGCGGUAAUACGUAGGUGGCAAGCGUUGUCCGGAUUUAUUGGGCGUAAAGCGAGCGCAGGCGGUUUCUUAAGUCUGAUGUGAAAGCCCCCGGCUCAACCGGGGAGGGUCAUUGGAAACUGGGAGACUUGAGUGCAGAAGAGGAGAGUGGAAUUCCAUGUGUAGCGGUGAAAUGCGUAGAUAUAUGGAGGAACACCAGUGGCGAAGGCGGCUCUCUGGUCUGUAACUGACGCUGAGGCUCGAAAGCGUGGGGAGCGAACAGGAUUAGAUACCCUGGUAGUCCACGCCGUAAACGAUGAGUGCUAAGUGUUGGAGGGUUUCCGCCCUUCA